Molecule: long non-coding RNA, 238 nt
Filed under: Capsicum annuum
Lineage: Eukaryota; Viridiplantae; Streptophyta; Magnoliopsida; Solanales; Solanaceae
Description: long non-coding RNA (CANN_LNC014043)
Source: RNAcentral
CAUAACUCAAACCUCCUUCUUCACUCCACAAGAAGAGAUCUCUAAUAAUCCUAUUUUUUUCCUUCACUCCACAAGAAGAGACCUCCAACAAUUCUAUUUUCUUUCCUUGGCAGCCUGAACUGCUUCAGACGGGUCCACCUCUCUUAAUGCCGACCCCUCAACCCCACUCCAAAAUUCCCCCAAACAUACCUCUAUAGUCCUCAAAAUAAUAAAAAGAACUUCAUUCAACAGGGCCCCA